CUACGGGAGGCAGCAGUGGGGAAUAUUGCACAAUGGGGGAAACCCUGAUGCAGCGACGCCGCGUGCGGGAUGAAGGCCUUCGGGUUGUAAACCGCUUUCAGCAGGGGCGAAUUCAGACGGUACCUGCAGAAGAAGCGCCGGCUAACUACGUGCCAGCAGCCGCGGUAAUACGUAGGGCGCAAGCGUUGUCCGGAAUUAUUGGGCGUAAAGAGCUCGUAGGCGGCCUGUUGCGUCCGCUGUGAAAACCCGGGGCUUAACCCCGGGCCUGCAGUGGAUACGGGCAGGCUGGAGGCAGGCAGGGGAGAACGGAAUUCCCGGUGUAGCGGUGAAAUGCGCAGAUAUCGGGAGGAACACCGGUGGCGAAGGCGGUUCUCUGGGCCUGUACUGACGCUGAGGAGCGAAAGCGUGGGGAGCGAACAGGAUUAGAUACCCCGGUAGC
Molecule: ribosomal RNA, 439 nt
Filed under: uncultured bacterium
Lineage: Bacteria
Description: bacterial SSU rRNA
Rfam family: Bacterial small subunit ribosomal RNA
Source: RNAcentral